RNAcentral lists this unclassified non-coding RNA (334 nucleotides) under soil metagenome. RNAcentral describes it as "partial contains 5.8S ribosomal RNA, internal transcribed spacer 2, and large subunit ribosomal RNA". The stretch from base 1 to 120 matches the Rfam family "5.8S ribosomal RNA", at positions 35 to 154 of the family's 154-position model. The record is from RNAcentral.
GAUGAAGAACGCAGCGAAAUGCGAUAAGUAAUGUGAAUUGCAGAAUUCAGUGAAUCAUCGAAUCUUUGAACGCACAUUGCGCCCGCCAGUAUUCUGGCGGGCAUGCCUGUUCGAGCGUCAUUUCAACCAUCAAGCCCCCGGCUUGUGUUGGGGACCUGCGGCUGCCGCAGGCCCUGAAAACCAGUGGCGGGCUCGCUAGUCACUCCGAGCGUAGUAAUACAUCUCGCUCAGGGCGUGCUGCGGGUUCCGGCCGUUAAAAAAGCCUUAUUUACCCAAGGUUGACCUCGGAUCAGGUAGGAAGACCCGCUGAACUUAAGCAUAUCUAAGCGGAGGA